UUUCUUUCAGUCUAGAUCUCACAUCAAUAUCAAAAUGCUUCAAAUUUUCACCAGUUAUCUUGCGUGAAUGAAUAUUUGAAUACUGGACGUGUAAUUAGCUACAAAGGGAAAUUAAUGUCGGAUAUAAGUUCUCAAAUUGUUUGAAAUGUAUGAAUAUACGUUUCCAUUUCAUAAUGAAAGGAUCAAAGGUGAAGAUGAUCUGGGCCAGAUUUGAAAAAAGAACAGCGAGUUGGGACGAGUACUGUGAAACACCAAACUGGAUGAUCUAGCAAAUUCUUUCAGAAAUAUAUGUUCAUUACACUCCUGAAAUAUGUUUCACAAAUAAAAGACCUUAUAAAACCAAGUGUCAUUACAAAAGAAGUCUGCCAGAUAGGAGUUACGUUCUCAUAGAUUACAAGCUCCACCUCAUAGCUCUCACGGCUACUGGUCAGACCAAAGAGCAAAAUUAUAUCUGUAUUGCAAAUAGAUUCCACCAGUUUCACCCACUUUUCGACGUAUGCUAUUCCAUUC
This is a long non-coding RNA of Octopus bimaculoides (California two-spot octopus), 510 nucleotides long. The record is from RefSeq and is a predicted model, not a curated record. NCBI's taxonomy places the organism in Eukaryota, Metazoa, Mollusca, Cephalopoda, Octopoda, Octopodidae.